Molecule: ribosomal RNA, 464 nt
Filed under: uncultured bacterium
Lineage: Bacteria
Description: partial 16S ribosomal RNA
Rfam family: Bacterial small subunit ribosomal RNA
Source: RNAcentral
GACGAACGCUGGCGGCGUGCUUAACACAUGCAAGUCGAACGGAAAGGCCCUGCUUUUGUGGGGUGCUCGAGUGGCGAACGGGUGAGUAACACGUGAGUAACCUGCCCUUGACUUUGGGAUAACUUCAGGAAACUGGGGCUAAUACCGGAUAGGAGCUCCUGCUGCAUGGUGGGGGUUGGAAAGUUUCGGCGGUUGGGGAUGGACUCGCGGCUUAUCAGCUUGUUGGUGGGGUAGUGGCUUACCAAGGCUUUGACGGGUAGCCUGAGAGGGUGACCGGCCACAUUGGGACUGAGAUACGGCCCAGACUCCUACGGGAGGCAGCAGUGGGGAAUAUUGCACAAUGGGCGGAAGCCUGAUGCAGCAACGCCGCGUGCGGGAUGACGGCCUUCGGGUUGUAAACCGCUUUCGCCUGUGACGAAGCGUGAGUGACGGUAAUGGGUAAAGAAGCACCGGCUAACUACGUG